Molecule: ribosomal RNA, 434 nt
Filed under: uncultured bacterium
Lineage: Bacteria
Description: bacterial SSU rRNA
Rfam family: Bacterial small subunit ribosomal RNA
Source: RNAcentral
AACGCGAAGAACCUUACCUACUCUUGACAUCCAGAGAACUUAGCGGAGAUGCUUUGGUGCCUUCGGGAACUCUGAGACAGGUGCUGCAUGGCUGUCGUCAGCUCGUGUUGUGAAAUGUUGGGUUAAGUCCCGCAACGAGCGCAACCCUUAUCCUUUGUUGCCAGCGGUCCGGCCGGGAACUCAAAGGAGACUGCCAGUGAUAAACUGGAGGAAGGUGGGGAUGACGUCAAGUCAUCAUGGCCCUUACGAGUAGGGCUACACACGUGCUACAAUGGCAUAUACAAAGAGAAGCGACCUCGCGAGAGCAAGCGGACCUCAUAAAGUAUGUCGUAGUCCGGAUUGGAGUCUGCAACUCGACUCCAUGAAGUCGGAAUCGCUAGUAAUCGUAGAUCAGAAUGCUACGGUGAAUACGUUCCCGGGUCUUGUACACACCG